UGCCUGCCCAGUGAAUAUUAAACGGCCGCGGUAUUUUGACCGUGCAAAGGUAGCGCAAUCACUUGCCCCCUAAUUAGGGGCCUGUAUGAAUGGCUAGACGAAGGCCCAACUGUCUCCCUUUUCAAAUCAGUUAAAUUGAUCUACCUGUGCAGAAGCAGGUAUCCACCUACAAGACGAGAAGACCCUUUGGAGCUUAAGAUUAAAGUCAAUUACAUCAAUAAGUUAUACUUAAACUAAGUAAUACUGACCCGCAUCUUCGGUUGGGGCGACCGCGGGGGAAAACCAAGCCCCCAUGAAGAAAGAUAAACCCUUCUAAACCCAGAAAGACAUUUCUAAGUCACAGAACAUCUGACUAAAAGAUCCGUUUUUAUACGACCAGCGAACCAAGUUACCCAAGGGAUAACAGCGCAAUCCCCUUCCAGAGUCCCUAUCGACAAGGGGGUUUACGACCUCGAUGUUGGAUCAGGACAUCCUAAUGGUGUAGCAGCUAUUAA
RNAcentral lists this ribosomal RNA (494 nucleotides) under Electrophorus voltai. RNAcentral's name for it is "partial 16S ribosomal RNA". It matches the Rfam family "Bacterial large subunit ribosomal RNA", at positions 1856 to 2568 of the family's 2925-position model. The record is from RNAcentral. Lineage: Eukaryota; Metazoa; Chordata; Actinopteri; Gymnotiformes; Gymnotidae.